This 498-nucleotide ribosomal RNA is filed under the name uncultured bacterium. RNAcentral's name for it is "bacterial SSU rRNA". It matches the Rfam family "Bacterial small subunit ribosomal RNA", at positions 30 to 499 of the family's 1533-position model. The record is from RNAcentral.
CGAACGCUGGCGGCAUGCCUAAUACAUGCAAGUCGAACGCUUUUGUUUCACCGGGUGCUUGCACCCAUCGAAACAAAAGAGUGGCGGACGGGUGAGUAACACGUGGGUAACCUGCCCAUAAGAGGGGGAUAACAUCCGGAAACGGAUGCUAAUACCGCAUAUUUCCAAUUGUCUCCUGACAGAUGGAAAAAAGGUGGCUUCGGCUACCGCUUAUGGAUGGACCCGCGGCGUAUUAGCUAGUUGGUGAGGUAAUGGCUCACCAAGGCGAUGAUACGUAGCCGACCUGAGAGGGUGAUCGGCCACACUGGGACUGAGACACGGCCCAGACUCCUACGGGAGGCAGCAGUAGGGAAUCUUCCGCAAUGGACGAAAGUCUGACGGAGCAAUGCCGCGUGAGUGAAGAAGGUUUUCGGAUCGUAAAACUCUGUUGUUAGAGAAGAACAAGGAUGAGAGUAACUGCUCAUCCCCUGACGGUAUCUAACCAGAAAGCCACGGCUA